This 146-nucleotide ribozyme is filed under the name Anopheles gambiae (African malaria mosquito). Its description in RNAcentral is "drz-agam-2-2 ribozyme". It matches the Rfam family "drz-agam-2-2 ribozyme". The record is from Rfam by way of RNAcentral. Lineage: Eukaryota; Metazoa; Arthropoda; Insecta; Diptera; Culicidae.
AUGAUUCGAAACCCUGUAAAUGCAUGGAAAUAAAUGAUCGCCUAUUUUAGUUUCUAACAGUAACAUGUCUCUCAAUUAUUCAAGCUUGGGUAUACGGGGAAACCCAACCCCUUGGGCGGAUGUGUUACAUGGCUAAAUUGAGAGGG